RNAcentral lists this ribosomal RNA (682 nucleotides) under uncultured endomycorrhiza of Neottia nidus-avis. RNAcentral's name for it is "eukaryotic LSU rRNA". It matches the Rfam family "Eukaryotic large subunit ribosomal RNA", at positions 1 to 666 of the family's 3401-position model. Lineage: Eukaryota; Fungi; Basidiomycota; Agaricomycetes; Sebacinales; Sebacinaceae. The record is from RNAcentral.
CUUGACCUCAAAUCGAGUAGGACUACCCGCUGAACUUAAGCAUAUCAAUAAGCGGAGGAAAAGAAACUAACAAGGAUUCCCCUAGUAACGGCGAGUGAAGAGGGAAGAGCUCAAAUUUUGAAUCUGGUGCCUUCGGUGCCCGAAUUGUAAUCUAGAGAAGUGUUUUCCAUGACGGACCGUGCAUAAGUCUCCUGGAAUGGAGCGUCAUAGAGGGUGAGAAUCCCGUAUAUGGCAUGGACUCCCGUUGUUCUGUGAUACACUCUCGACGAGUCGAGUUGUUUGGGAAUGCAGCUCUAAAUGGGUGGUAAAUGCCAUCUAAAGCUAAAUAUUGGCGAGAGACCGAUAGCGAACAAGUACCGUGAGGGAAAGAUGAAAAGCACUUUGGAAAGAGAGUGAAACAGUACGUGAAAUUGUUGAAAGGGAAACGCUUGAAGUCAGUCGCGCCGUUUGGGAUUCAGCCUUGCUUCUGCUCGGUUUACUUCCCAUUGGGUGGGUCAACAUCAGUUUCGGUCGGAGGAGAAAGGCUUGGGGAAGGUAGCAGCAUUCGUGCUGUGUUAUAGCCCCUUGUUGUAUACUUCGAUUGAGACUGAGGACCGCAGCACGCCUCUGGCCGGGGUUCGCCCACGUACGUGCUUAGGAUGUUGGCAUAAUGGCUUUAAGCGACCCGUCUUGAAACACGGGA